This 366-nucleotide ribosomal RNA is filed under the name uncultured bacterium. Its description in RNAcentral is "partial 16S ribosomal RNA". It matches the Rfam family "Bacterial small subunit ribosomal RNA", at positions 338 to 701 of the family's 1533-position model. The record is from RNAcentral.
CCUACGGGUGGCAGCAGUGAGGAAUAUUGGUCAAUGGGCGCGAGCCUGAACCAGCCAAGUAGCGUGAAGGAUGACGGCCCUACGGGGUGUAAACUUCUGUUAUAAAGGAAUAAAGUGAGGCACGUGUGCCUUUUUGUAUGUACCUUAUGAAUAAGGAUCGGCUAACUCCGUGCCAGCAGCCGCGGUAAUACGGAGGAUCCGAGCUUUAUCCGGAUUUAUUGGGUUUAAAGGGUGCGUAGAUGGGUUGUUAAGUCAGUUGUGAAAGUUUGCGGCUCAACCGUAAAAUUGCAAUUGAUACUGGCAGUCUUGAGUACAGUUGCGGUAGGCGGAAUUCGUGGUGUAGCGGUGACAUGCUUAGAUAUCACG